GUCGAUUAGGUGUUGUAUCUACAUAUCAAUUUUUCGUGUUGGGGUUGAUCAGUUGUGGUCAUUCGAUA
Molecule: transfer RNA, 68 nt
Filed under: Fasciola jacksoni
Lineage: Eukaryota; Metazoa; Platyhelminthes; Trematoda; Plagiorchiida; Fasciolidae
Description: tRNA-Glu
Source: RNAcentral